RNAcentral lists this ribosomal RNA (467 nucleotides) under uncultured bacterium. RNAcentral describes it as "partial 16S ribosomal RNA". It matches the Rfam family "Bacterial small subunit ribosomal RNA", at positions 28 to 507 of the family's 1533-position model. The record is from RNAcentral.
GACGAACGCUGGCGGCGUGCUUAACACAUGCAAGUCGAACGGAAAGGCCUCUUUCGGGGGGUACUCGAGUGGCGAACGGGUGAGUAACACGUGAGUAACCUGCCCUUGACUUUGGGAUAACUUCAGGAAACUGGGGCUAAUACCGGAUAGGAGCUCCUGCUGCAUGGUGGGGGUUGGAAAGUUUCGGCGGUUGGGGAUGGACUCGCGGCUUAUCAGCUUGUUGGUGGGGUAGUGGCUUACCAAGGCUUUGACGGGUAGCCGGCCUGAGAGGGUGACCGGCCACAUUGGGGCUGAGGUACGGGCCAGACUGCUACGGGGGGCAGCGGUGGGGAAUAUUGCACAGUGGGUGGAAGCCUGAUGCAGCAACGCCGUGUGCGGGAUGACGGCCUUCGGGUUAUAAACCGCUUUCACUCAUAACGAAGCUUUGUGUGACGGUAGUAGGUAAAGAAGCACCGGCUAACUACGUG